RNAcentral lists this ribosomal RNA (389 nucleotides) under Dinophyceae sp. RNAcentral's name for it is "partial small subunit ribosomal RNA". It matches the Rfam family "Eukaryotic small subunit ribosomal RNA", at positions 582 to 975 of the family's 1831-position model. Lineage: Eukaryota; Dinophyceae. The record is from RNAcentral.
AUUCCAGCUCCAAUAGCGUAUAUUAAAGUUGUUGCGGUUAAAAAGCUCGUAGUUGGAUUUCUGCUGAGGACGACCGGUCCGCCCUCUGGGUGAGUAUCUGGCUUGGCCUUGGCAUCUUCUUGGAGAACGUAGCUGCACUUGACUGUGUGGUGCGGUAUCCAGGACUUUUACUUUGAGGAAAUUAGAGUGUUUCAAGCAGGCACACGCCUUGAAUACAUUAGCAUGGAAUAAUAAGAUAGGACCUUGGUUCUAUUUUGUUGGUUUGCAUACCAAAUUAAUGAUCAACAGGAGCAGUUUGAGGAUAUUCGUAUGAACAUGUCAGAGGUGAAAUUCUUGGAUUUUGAUCAGACGAACUACUGCGAAAGCAUUUAUCAAGGAUGUUUUCAUUG